AUAUCCCUGCCCUGUGCGUGCUGGUCUGUUAUAAACCCACAUUUCCCAUAAGGGACGCCGGCACUCUUUCGGUGAAUUGCAGGCCUCCCGCGCGUUUUCUGCGCGCGGAAGUUGGAAGCAGAGAAGCCAAAAGGAGGCGACCCACCUGCCGUUUUGUGCAGGUUCUUUACGGGUCACACGGCAGGUGUGGGGCGGUC
Molecule: non-coding RNA, 197 nt
Filed under: Oscillospiraceae bacterium
Lineage: Bacteria; Bacillati; Bacillota; Clostridia; Eubacteriales; Oscillospiraceae
Description: 6S RNA
Rfam family: 6S / SsrS RNA
About the family: E. coli 6S RNA was the first non coding RNA to be sequenced, but its function was unknown until recently. It consists of 184 nucleotides that fold into an extended hairpin structure with a large single-stranded internal bulge.
Source: RNAcentral